UACGGAGGAGGCAAGCGUUAUCCGGAAUUAUUGGGCGUAAAGCGUCCGUAGGUGGGACUUCAAGUCUGCUGUUAAAGAUUGGGGCUUAACCGUAAAAAGGCAGUGGAAACUGAAGAUCUAGAGUGUAGUAGGGGAAAGUGGAAUUCCUGGUGUAGCGGUGAAAUGCGUAGAGAUCUGGAAGAACAUCGGUGGCGAAGGCGCUCUUCUGGUCUAUAACUGACGCUCAGGGACGAAAGCGUGGGGAGCAAAUGGG
RNAcentral lists this ribosomal RNA (253 nucleotides) under uncultured bacterium. Its description in RNAcentral is "partial 16S ribosomal RNA". It matches the Rfam family "Bacterial small subunit ribosomal RNA", at positions 524 to 776 of the family's 1533-position model. The record is from RNAcentral.